RNAcentral lists this long non-coding RNA (557 nucleotides) under Ananas comosus (pineapple). RNAcentral's name for it is "long non-coding RNA (ACOM_LNC012796)". The record is from RNAcentral. Lineage: Eukaryota; Viridiplantae; Streptophyta; Magnoliopsida; Poales; Bromeliaceae.
AUAGUAGUUUAGGGUCAUAAAUAUAUAUAUAGAAAGAGAGUGUUUAAGCUGUAAUACUAUCGAUAGUAAGCGAAUUUUGUUGUUACUCAUUUAUUUUCGAUGAUGAAGUCCCCAAAUUAAUGAUCAGUAUCAUUGAACAUGAUCUAUACUACCUGAAAUAUUUAGAAAUCAAAAUUUUAUAUUUUUUUCGAUAUUAUUCUCUUAUAUAUCAAGUAGACAAAAAAAUAAACGGUUAAAAAUAAAUAUUCUUUAAAAAGUAAUGAUAGGAAUUUUGUAAUCAAGAUCGAGAGUGUAGAUGGUGUUUUAGAUAGUUUAAAAAAUUUUAUAACUAAAAAUUCAAUUAAUUUGUAUAUCUUUAUGCUAUUAAACAAGAAAAAGUCUUAUAUCGAUCAUUAAAAUUAUAAAUUUUGAAACACUUUGAUCAUUAGGCCAAUAAUUUUGAAAAAAUUUAAAAUUUGAUUUCUAAAUAUUUCAAGUAAUAUUAGAUCAUAUUUAACAAUGCCAAUCAUUAAUUUGGAGGCACCAUCAUCGAAAAAAAUGGAUGACAAAAGAAUCUA